UAGGGAAUCUUCGGCAAUGGACGAAAGUCUGACCGAGCAACGCCGCGUGAGUGAAGAAGGUUUUUCGGAUCGUAAAACUCUGUUGGUAGAGAAGAACGUUGGUGAGAGUGGAAAGCUCAUCAAGUGACAGUAACUACCCAGAAAGGGACGGCUAACUACGUGCCAC
Molecule: ribosomal RNA, 166 nt
Filed under: uncultured bacterium
Lineage: Bacteria
Description: partial 16S rRNA
Rfam family: Bacterial small subunit ribosomal RNA
Source: RNAcentral